This 528-nucleotide unclassified non-coding RNA is filed under the name Hevea brasiliensis (rubber tree). The record is from RNAcentral. Lineage: Eukaryota; Viridiplantae; Streptophyta; Magnoliopsida; Malpighiales; Euphorbiaceae.
GUUGAAGAAUACAAGGAAACUGGUACUUCGAAACAUUGCAGACUGCGGCACAGAUUUUCCUUUGUAAGGAUAGAAUAGAGACAGAAACCCAGCCACCGCAGAUGCAACGAGGAAUGCGAAAGAGAGAUAUCCCAAUACAACCGAAGGAUCAGAUGGAUACUUGCAAAUAACAACACCUUUACCAGUGAUGGGUGUUCCAGCUGCAGGCUUCUUAUUUUCAGCGAUUAUCCCAAAAAUGAAGGAUAGUGCCCCCAGAGUCGCAACAAUCAGAGACAUUUGACGAACAGUAACAGCCAUCACUCGAAGCUGUAGAGACGACGAAGUUAGUACAGGGAGAGCCGGAGAGGACUACAAGGAAGAAUCGAUUUUUAAACAAAUAAAUCUCAGAAUCUCCAAGGAUAUAAAAGACAGAGAAGAAGUCUUUAGUGGUGUAGAUUCUAAAUUCCAGCCUGGAAUAUUUGCUUGUUCGCCGGACAACGGGGUUGGUACCUUAACUAUUUUGGUAUUUUAACAGCUGUGAAAUUCUUU